AAAAAAGCUCCCUUUCCUUCAAACCAACCAGUUGGACCGUACCAUCAGUCCCAAAUAUAGAAGCGCCAGCGACAUACAUGUGGCUCAAGACCGGGAGAUUCGGGCUGCCAACGAUGGUGAACAACUGCGGCAUUCAGGUGGUGGCGGUGCUUAAAACGAUCGUCUGCUUCAUCUUGCUCACUGGGCAUUGUGCAGCUUCUGUGACAUCAGGUUCGAAUUUGAAGGGACAAGAAAUGAAAGGGCGGCGGCGGGCGUCAGGCUGGUGGUCGGAGGAUUAUUCUGUACCUGGGAGACGAAGGCAUGUCCAUAAUAAGUUAGAGCCGCCGUAACAUGAUUUACUUUUAACUUGGUUGCGAGUGAGGAGUGGCGGGUUGUCUCUGUAAUAUUCUGCAUGAAUAAUGUCACGAGGCCAAAGAUGUUUUUGCACUUUUCCUUCAAUA
This is a long non-coding RNA of Neltuma alba, 440 nucleotides long. RefSeq lists it as uncharacterized. The record is from RefSeq and is a predicted model, not a curated record. The transcript is spliced from 2 exons. NCBI's taxonomy places the organism in Eukaryota, Viridiplantae, Streptophyta, Magnoliopsida, Fabales, Fabaceae.